UGGGGUAAUUUUCCGCAAUGGGCGAAAGCCUGACGGAGCAAUGCCGCGUGGAGGUGGAAGGCCUACGGGUCGUCAACUUCUUUUCUCGGAGAAGAAACAAUGACGGUAUCUGAGGAAUAAGCAUCGGCUAACUCUGUGCCA
RNAcentral lists this ribosomal RNA (141 nucleotides) under uncultured bacterium. RNAcentral's name for it is "partial 16S rRNA". It matches the Rfam family "Bacterial small subunit ribosomal RNA", at positions 354 to 510 of the family's 1533-position model. The record is from RNAcentral.